GGGAUUGUAGUUCAAUUGGUUAGAGCCCAUCCUAACAUGGGUGGAUGCUACGGGUUCAAACCCCGUUAGUCCCA
This 74-nucleotide transfer RNA is filed under the name Olea europaea subsp. europaea. It matches the Rfam family "tRNA". From Rfam's summary of the family: Transfer RNA (tRNA) molecules are approximately 80 nucleotides in length. Their secondary structure includes four short double-helical elements and three loops (D, anti-codon, and T loops). The record is from Rfam by way of RNAcentral. Lineage: Eukaryota; Viridiplantae; Streptophyta; Magnoliopsida; Lamiales; Oleaceae.